GCUCUGGUGAUGCAAAGGCAGCAUACAGGUCUUCCAAACCUGGUGUGCGGGUUCGACUCCCGUUCAGGGCU
RNAcentral lists this transfer RNA (71 nucleotides) under Lachnospiraceae bacterium. RNAcentral's name for it is "tRNA-Gly". It matches the Rfam family "tRNA". From Rfam's summary of the family: Transfer RNA (tRNA) molecules are approximately 80 nucleotides in length. Their secondary structure includes four short double-helical elements and three loops (D, anti-codon, and T loops). Further hydrogen bonds mediate the characteristic L-shaped molecular structure. tRNAs have two regions of fundamental functional importance: the anti-codon, which is responsible for specific mRNA codon recognition, and the 3' end, to which the tRNAs corresponding amino acid is attached (by aminoacyl-tRNA synthetases). tRNAs cope with the degeneracy of the genetic code in two manners: having more than one tRNA (with a specific anti-codon) for a particular amino acid; and 'wobble' base-pairing, i.e. permitting non-standard base-pairing at the 3rd anti-codon position. RNAcentral also lists the same sequence under 1 other name. Lineage: Bacteria; Bacillati; Bacillota; Clostridia; Lachnospirales; Lachnospiraceae. The record is from RNAcentral.